Long non-coding RNA from Megalobrama amblycephala (Wuchang bream), 2384 nucleotides. RefSeq lists it as uncharacterized. Lineage: Eukaryota; Metazoa; Chordata; Actinopteri; Cypriniformes; Xenocyprididae. The record is from RefSeq and is a predicted model, not a curated record. The transcript is spliced from 3 exons.
GCCUCAUGCUAUAUAAAGUCAAUGGGCACUAUUGGAUUGUUCCCCCCUGGUGGGCGUGGUUUUCAGAUUAUGACACGUGUCACUCUGUCAGCGCUAGUGAGAUGGCCAAUCAAAUCAAAGAAGGCGGGUCUAACAGAAGACGAGUGAAUUCCAGCAGAACACUUUAGUUUUGUCUCUGAAAGAGCAUGUGACAGCUAAACUAAUAUUUAAUUGUUUUACGAGAAAUGCUGAACGACCGACAGUAAUAUCCAGGGAUGCAAGCAACUCAACUUUUUAAAAAAUGUCACUGUUUUGAAUGUAAAAUAUGAUAUAAUUUACAUUUGAUUAGUAACUCAUAACUAAAUGUGACGAGACAAGAAGCGUUUUGCGUUUGCGACAGAUCAGAUAUCGGUAAGAGUGAACAUGUGCAUAUUUUAAAACAAAACCGUAUUUGCAAAUAGUUUAAAUUGAUUAGGCCUACACAACUGCAGUAGAACUUAUUUUACAAUUUACUUUCAUUUAUUCCCUUAAUCCUUUUAAUACUUAAUUAUUUAAUUCCUUUAAAACAACAACCCCCAGGUAGAAAAGUAAUUGGUGUAAUAUAUAUUCCUUUAUUUUAUAUAAUAUUCUUUGAUUUUAGAGGUGCCCAUAUCUUUUCAAAAAGUAUACUUUUGCUCUUUCAUGUUAUCAUUUACAUCAAAUGUACUCUGGAAACUAGAUCUAGAUCUAAGAUGAUAAAGGAGCAUAGAGAUAUGGAUAUGCACCAGAUCUGCAGAUUUGACCCUCUGUUCAAGUAAAGUCUCAUUUAUUGAUAUAGUGCUCUUUAUUGCUUCAAAGCAGCAACACUGGAAAAACAGCAUAAGCGUGCCAGAGUUCUUCAAUCUCAGGAAUCUGAAUUUCAAUUAUAACUUCAAUUUCAACACUAAAGCACCUUCACACUGUGUUUAUGUUUUUACUCAUGUCUAACCUUGAACUGAAGAAAUUAACCAGAAGAGAUUUUCACGUCAAAAAAAAUGGAGGACCAAAGCACAUCUAUUAUAUCUUCAUCAUGGACCAAUGGCAGUUUAAAGGUGUUUAACAGCCAGAAACAGUAACACAGAAGUAACAAAACUAUUUGAAGGACAGCCAGACCAUCUGACUCUGUCAACAUCUCAGUUUCUCCUUGACAGUGACAUGUUUGUGAUGGCAGAGGAUCCUCAGAGACUGACACAGUUUAGAUUGAAGACGCUGUGACACUGAUGUUCACAACACCAUCAAUUCACUUGAUGGAGACUCUGAAGUGUCUGCAGAGGAGAAAGAGGAGGGCAGUCGUGGGUUUAUCACUGUCCUGAGACCUGCCAGGAGUCAGAGAGAGGAAUCAGAGACGCUUAAAUGAGCAGCAGCUUCUCCUUCACACUGGAAGGACUUCAAUUAAUAUGAUGCAUUCGUGAUACUAUGCACUGAAUUUUGAAACACAAUUCUGACAAUCCACUGUGAUAAUUUAGAAAAUAUUAGCUCAAAUAUAAUUUCAGUCUGUGUCAUUAUUAUGGUUUAUCAAGUUCAAAUAAACAGACUGGUUAAAUUACUAAAUCAAAUCUUAACAGUUCAGGAAUUCAAUUACUAGUGUAAAUUACAGUAUUCCUGUGUUAUGGAUUAAAGCAUUCAAAUUGCAGAUAGUUGGAGGUUCUUCACGUCAGGUAAAGCAGGUAAGAAGAGGUUACAAGAGACCAUGAGCACUUCUGACAGAGAGGAAAGAUGUCAUUCCUCUGUAUUUACACAGGCAGUUACAGUGUUAUCAACACUGCACCUCAUGUGCUCAUCUGUCUGAGUGAGAAUACAUCAUUAAAUUAACUACAAUAUCUUGCUCUGCAGUGCAUCAUCUCUGAAGCAAAAAUCAGAAAGUAACAAAUUCAUUGCAACUUAAAUUUUAAAGCUGCAUUUUUUUAUGCACAUAGAUGCAAACUCUUCACCUUUCUGUGACAACUCACCUUUUUGAGAUCAAAAUAGGUAAUGUAUGGUAUUUGAAUAGAUCAGCCAAUAUUGUCUUAAAUAGCCUGCAUAGCACUUCAUCUUUUAUAACAUGAGAUUUUGACCGAAUCUGUUCAAUCUUGAUUUUGGUAAAAUGUUGCAGCAAUAUGUAAUUUUUUAUUGAUUACAGUCUUGGACAUAUAAGGUAAUAAAUAAUUAAAAAACAAAACAAAACAAAAAACACUUAAAUCCCUGAGUGCAGCCUUGAAGACAAAUGUAGAGUUGCUGCAUACAUGAGGACCAGUGUUGCCAAUGCCAAGUUACUUUUUUUUUUACCUAAACUUGUAUUUACAAUCAUUUUGAGAGCAUGUGAAGGCAGCAUUACAUUACAUCUUGUAAAAUGGGGCAUAAUAGCUUCUUCUUUAGUCCAUUAACUAACAUGAAGCAACAAUGAACAA